UGGGGAAUAUUGGACAAUGGGCGAAAGCCUGAUCCAGCCAUGCCGCGUGUGUGAAGAAGGUCUUCGGAUUGUAAAGCACUUUAAGUUGGGAGGAAGGGCAGUAACCUAAUACGUUUCUGUCUUGACGUUACCGACAGAAUAAGCACCGGCUAACUCUGUGCCAGCAGCCGCGGUAAUACAGAGGGUGCAAGCGUUAAUCGGAAUUACUGGGCGUAAAGCGCGCGUAGGUGGUUUGUUAAGUUGGAUGUGAAAUCCCCGGGCUCAACCUGGGAACUGCAUUCAAAACUGACAAGCUAGAGUAUGGUAGAGGGUGGUGGAAUUUCCUGUGUAGCGGUGAAAUGCGUAGAUAUAGGAAGGAACACCAGUGGCGAAGGCGACCACCUGGACUGAUACUGACACUGAGGUGCGAAAGCAUGGGUAGCGAACAGGAUUAGAUACCCGCGUAGUCCCUGAGCGGGCUGGCAAGGCGCAU
This 472-nucleotide ribosomal RNA is filed under the name uncultured bacterium. RNAcentral's name for it is "bacterial SSU rRNA". It matches the Rfam family "Bacterial small subunit ribosomal RNA", at positions 355 to 825 of the family's 1533-position model. The record is from RNAcentral.